GUUCAAGGAAAUAAGAGCUUACGGGGGAUACUUGGUAUUCAGAGGCGAAGAAGGACGUGGUUACCGACGAAACGCUUCGGGAAGCUGGAAACACGCUAUGAUCCGGAGAUAUCCGAAUGAGGAAACUUUUAACUAUCUGCUGAAUUC
RNAcentral lists this ribosomal RNA (147 nucleotides) under Pylaiella littoralis. RNAcentral's name for it is "partial ribosomal RNA". It matches the Rfam family "Bacterial large subunit ribosomal RNA", at positions 1 to 165 of the family's 2925-position model. The record is from RNAcentral. Lineage: Eukaryota; Phaeophyceae; Ectocarpales; Acinetosporaceae.